This 800-nucleotide ribosomal RNA is filed under the name uncultured bacterium. RNAcentral's name for it is "bacterial SSU rRNA". It matches the Rfam family "Bacterial small subunit ribosomal RNA", at positions 78 to 897 of the family's 1533-position model. The record is from RNAcentral.
CUAUAAUUGUCAGCUAAGUGGCGCACGGGUGAGUAAUGUAUAGAUAGCCUGCCCUUAAGAAAGGAAUAACAGUUGGAAACGACUGCUAAUGCCCUAUAUGCCUUUAAUACAUAAGUAUGCAAGGGAAACGCUUUAGUGCUUAAGGAUGGGUCUGUAUGGUAUCAGCUUGUUGGUGAGGUAAUGGCUCACCAAGGCUAUGACGCCUAACUGGUUUGAGAGGAUGAUCAGUCACACUGGAACUGAGACACGGUCCAGACUCCUACGGGAGGCAGCAGUGGGGAAUAUUGCACAAUGGACGAAAGUCUGAUGCAGCAACGCCGCGUGGAGGAUGACACAUUUCGGUGCGUAAACUCCUUUUAUAUAGGAAGAUAAUGACGGUACUAUAUGAAUAAGCACCGGCUAACUCCGUGCCAGCAGCCGCGGUAAUACGGAGGGUGCAAGCGUUACUCGGAAUCACUGGGCGUAAAGAGCGUGUAGGCGGGUAUAUAAGUCAGAAGUGAAAUCCAAUAGCUCAACUAUUGAACUGCUUUUGAAACUGUAUACCUAGAAUGUGGGAGAGGUAGAUGGAAUUUCUGGUGUAGGGGUAAAAUCCGUAGAGAUCAGAAGGAAUACCGAUUGCGAAGGCGAUCUACUGGAACAUUAUUGACGCUGAGACGCGAAAGCGUGGGGAGCAAACAGGAUUAGAUACCCUGGUAGUCCACGCCCUAAACGAUGUACACUAGUUGUUGUGAGGCUCGACCUUGCAGUAAUGCAGUUAACACAUUAAGUGUACCGCCUGGGGAGUACGGUCGCAAGAUUAA